Non-coding RNA from Pelobates cultripes (western spadefoot toad), 707 nucleotides. Lineage: Eukaryota; Metazoa; Chordata; Amphibia; Anura; Pelobatidae. The record is from the annotation of a GenBank genome assembly.
ACAAAAACGAUUGCAUCAAAGGCAUCAAAACACUCCAUAUACAAUACCGUGGGGUGUCAACAUUUCAAAUAUAUGCACGCGCAUUGCAAGAAUAUAAAUUGGGAUAUCAAAAAGGCCCCCAAAAAGAAGAUAGGCAAAGAAUAUAUAUCAAAUUUGAAAAACACAUGUCAGAAGUUUGGCAUUGCACCCGCCCAAACAACCCAACAAACCUAUGCAUAGGUGGUAUCAUGGUACACAGAAAAUGUUGCUGAACACAUAUUGGGGUGUUCUGUGGCAGUAACACAUAUCAGGAACUGAGAAUCCAUGCUUAAAAUAGAAUGUGUGUGAAAAAUAACACAAUGACUACCCAAACGUUUGACAGAGACUGGUGGUAGAAUUAGUGCAUGGAAAGUGUUAAAAUACCACCAUUUGAAAUACCCUAGGGUAUCUACUUUUCAAAAACAUAUGGUUUGAUGGGGGCAAAUUACAUUGGCUGGCUUCAAAAAUGUCCCAAGUGGGACAUGGGUGUCUGAUGACCAGCUGUGAAAAUUCCUAAUAAUUUGGAAAACUGGAAUGUGCACCCUCCAAAUAAGGUCUUUUAGCCCCCAGAGAACCCAACACACCUAUACAUGGGGGAUAUCACUGUACUCAGGAGAUGUUGCUGAACACAUAUUGGGGUGUUCUUUGGCAGUAACCCUUAAAUGCAGUAUGGUCUUUGUUAAUCUUUG